Molecule: long non-coding RNA, 538 nt
Organism: Amphimedon queenslandica
Lineage: Eukaryota; Metazoa; Porifera; Demospongiae; Haplosclerida; Niphatidae
Exons: 2
Source: RefSeq, a predicted model, not a curated record
GGAGGAGGAGGUAGGUCAGUUUAAAUGUACUCUAGGAAUUACUGGUGAUCUUUGCUCAAUGUUUUAAACAUUAGAUAGCUGGAUGUUAACCGAGGAGAUGUGGAACAGAUCAGUUGUACUUACUAUUGCUAUGUCUUCAUUAAUUUGGACGGCAUCAAAAAUAAGAGCCCUCUUGCUAAAACUUCCAACCAAGAACUGGCUGGUUGAUCUAUUGGAGGAAUGCAUUGCUAAAUGUAGUCUUGAUGUACUUGAUUUUUAAAAGAAUUCAGACUAGUACUGAGAGAGUUUGUAAUAGUGGCUAGUGCAGUAGGUGGAGGUUACAGGAGUCAUUGGGUCUAUAUUGUACCUAUGGUAGGUAUAUACUUCAAUAGGAGCUGGUAUUGGAGCUAAAUAUUGCUACUGGGGGAGUGUCUGCUUUUAUGGUUAUACUUAGUGAGAGACUGAGACAUUAUAGUAACUGAGCUGUGUUUAGUAAUAAUUAAUGCUACAUCAGCGUAUAAUGUUCUUUGAAGUUUAUGUAUGAUAUUUAUAGUCUGUA